CCCAGUUCUCAUAGGGGUGAUAGAAAGGAGGAAGCAGAGGACAGGCUUAGUCAUCUGUCAUAGCCAAUUAAUGCUAAUGUAGUGUUCAAAGAUGCAUAUGAAAGCUUGUAAGUUAACUCUUGUUAUGGUAUUCUGUGGGGGAAAACUCUUAGAGUUUGAGUGAUGAAACUAGUUUUUGGAAACAUGCAGUGGCAGCAUUAACAGCAUUUAUUUCCAAGCAGAAACUAGUUUGGGGUUUCAUUUUUUUUUACAUUCCCAUGAGCUUUGAAAAUAAAACAAGAAUUACUGAAAAUAUAUUCAGUGAGUAAAGUCACUGAGAAAAUUAAAAUUUAAUGCUACUACAAUAUUGUUUCCUUGGAGAAAAGUCUUUCACCUAACUGCAGAAAUGAAAAUCUCACUGGUUGAGCCUCCCUUCCUCAUUUGGAACACAGUGCUGUAACACCACAGCCCAGUGUAUUUGGUAGGGGAUUGAAAGUCUGUUAUCUCCUCCUGCCCUUUCUAGGUUGAAUUUCUGUGGAUAUCUGAGUGUAUUUCUGCGUUUGCUGACCCCUCCUGUGCACUGGCCAUGCCUCCUGCUGCCCCACAGCCAGAAGGGACUGGGUUUCAGUGCUGCUCUUUGCCUGCACUGUGAGACACCUGAUAAUCUCAGCAUCCAAGUUUUUGUUCAUCUUUCCUCCCUUUCUGGAGCAGGACUAUGACAGCCUGAUUACAAUUACUAGAGUUUUAACAUCAUGCAGAGCUGCAACCAGUUGGCUGAGACAAUGACGGCGUGCAGGCGCCUGCCUCUGCUGCUUGCAGAGUGAAACAAAUUAAUGUGGAUUAAUGAGGUGCACGUGAUGCAAAUGAACCUGUGCUGCUGGGACAGGCUUGAGCAGGCACAGCAAGAGUGGGGCUGGCAGUGGUCCUGGUGAGGUGUGUAACCCCAUGGCUUGUGAGGAUGUGCCUUGGAGCAGCCGUGUGGAAGGGCUCAGAAGCUGAGAAAAGGGAACACUUUUUUCCUUCCCUUUCCUACAUGGAAUUCUACAAAGAUUCCUCUACAAUUAAUGCAGCAAAAAUAAGAAAACAGCAGGAAAGGUUUAAAGUUGGAGAGACAUUCUCAAACUUCUCUCAAGUAGUAAAAUAUGAUUCAGAGAUGCAAAGAAGUGAAAACCAGAUGUCAAACUUAAAAGCCUAAAUACAAAAGUACCUACAGAUUCCUGUGGCUCCUGUACACUGGUGAAGAUGCUGAGAGGAAUGAGGGCAUUUUGACUGUCCCAUGCUGUAGAAGGCUUAAUUCUUAAUUACUAAUUAAUUCUUUAUGAGUCUUUUGUUAGCCUUGCCAAAUUCAACAGUCACAUUAAUGAUAGGUAUCUCUCCAAACUGGAAUUUGUUUCAAUUGUGUUUUAUUUUUAAGAAGAUGAGUGAACCCACAAGAAUUCCCUCUGCAGGAUACAUCUUCAGUCAUUUCACCACUCCUAAGAAUAAACUAACUCCCUGCUGAGUUAUUCA
This 1488-nucleotide long non-coding RNA is filed under the name Parus major (Great Tit). Its description in RNAcentral is "lncRNA (ENSPMJG00000016802.1)". Lineage: Eukaryota; Metazoa; Chordata; Aves; Passeriformes; Paridae. The record is from RNAcentral.